Molecule: transfer RNA, 72 nt
Filed under: Babesia bovis
Lineage: Eukaryota; Apicomplexa; Aconoidasida; Piroplasmida; Babesiidae
Also listed under: 1 other name
Rfam family: tRNA
About the family: Transfer RNA (tRNA) molecules are approximately 80 nucleotides in length. Their secondary structure includes four short double-helical elements and three loops (D, anti-codon, and T loops). Further hydrogen bonds mediate the characteristic L-shaped molecular structure. tRNAs have two regions of fundamental functional importance: the anti-codon, which is responsible for specific mRNA codon recognition, and the 3' end, to which the tRNAs corresponding amino acid is attached (by aminoacyl-tRNA synthetases). tRNAs cope with the degeneracy of the genetic code in two manners: having more than one tRNA (with a specific anti-codon) for a particular amino acid; and 'wobble' base-pairing, i.e. permitting non-standard base-pairing at the 3rd anti-codon position.
Source: Rfam by way of RNAcentral
AGAUAAUUAAUUUAAUGAAUAAAAUAUUUAAUUUACACUUAAAAAACAAUGGUUUGAUUCCAUUAUUAUCUA